RNAcentral lists this unclassified non-coding RNA (221 nucleotides) under uncultured Flavobacteriaceae bacterium. RNAcentral's name for it is "contains 16S-23S intergenic spacer region". The record is from RNAcentral. Lineage: Bacteria; Pseudomonadati; Bacteroidota; Flavobacteriia; Flavobacteriales; Flavobacteriaceae.
UCUCAGUUUGCACUGGCAGUCUCGUUAGAGUUCCCGACAUGACUCGCUGGCAACUAACGACAGGGGUUGCGCUCGUUAUAGGACUUAACCUGACACCUCACGGCACGAGCUGACGACAACCAUGCAGCACCUUGUAAAUUGUCUUGCGAAAAGUCUGUUUCCAAACCGGUCAAUCUACAUUUAAGCCUUGGUAAGGUGGGGAUGACGUUUCUAGGAGGGUG